This 246-nucleotide ribosomal RNA is filed under the name uncultured bacterium. Its description in RNAcentral is "partial 16S ribosomal RNA". It matches the Rfam family "Bacterial small subunit ribosomal RNA", at positions 524 to 767 of the family's 1533-position model. The record is from RNAcentral.
UACGUAGGGUGCAAGCGUUAAUCGGAAUUACUGGGCGUAAAGCGUGCGCAGGCGGUUUUGUAAGCCAGAUGUGAAAGCCCCGGGCUUAACCUGGGAAUGGCAUUUGGGACUGCAAGGCUUGAGUGCGGCAGAGGAGACUGGAAUUCCUGGUGUAGCAGUGAAAUGCGUAGAUAAUCAGGAGGAAUACCGAUGGCGAAGGCAGGUCUCUGGGCUGACACCUGACGCUCAUGCACGAAAGCGUGGGGA